Molecule: ribosomal RNA, 449 nt
Filed under: uncultured bacterium
Lineage: Bacteria
Description: partial 16S ribosomal RNA
Rfam family: Bacterial small subunit ribosomal RNA
Source: RNAcentral
AAUGAACGCUGGCGGCAUGCCUAACACAUGCAAGUCGAACGAGAUCUUCGGGUCUAGUGGCGUACGGGUGCGUAACGCGUGGGAAUCUGCCCUUUGGUUCGGAAUAACAGUUGGAAACGACUGCUAAUACCGGAUGAUGACGAAAGUCCAAAGAUUUAUCGCCAGAGGAUGAGCCCGCGUAGGAUUAGCUAGUUGGUGUGGUAAAGGCGCACCAAGGCGACGAUCCUUAGCUGGUCUGAGAGGAUGAUCAGCCACACUGGGACUGAGACACGGCCCAGACUCCUACGGGAGGCAGCAGUGGGGAAUAUUGGACAAUGGGCGAAAGCCUGAUCCAGCAAUGCCGCGUGAGUGAUGAAGGCCUUAGGGUUGUAAAGCUCUUUUACCCGGGAUGAUAAUGACAGUACCGGGAGAAUAAGCUCCGGUUAACUCCGUGCCAGCCGCCGCAGUAA